Molecule: ribosomal RNA, 1457 nt
Filed under: Crocosphaera watsonii WH 0401
Lineage: Bacteria; Bacillati; Cyanobacteriota; Cyanophyceae; Chroococcales; Aphanothecaceae
Description: LSU rRNA
Rfam family: Bacterial large subunit ribosomal RNA
Source: RNAcentral
GGUCAAGCUACAAAGGGCUAACGGUGGAUACCUAGGCACACAGAGGCGAAGAAGGACGUAGUUACCGACGAUACGCUCCGGGGAGCUGGAAGCAAGCAUUGAGCCGGAGAUUUCCCAAUGGGGCAACCCCAAGAACGGUCACCUGAAUCUAUAGGGUGAUGCGAGCGAACUGGGCGAACUGAAACAUCUUAGUAACCCAAGGAAGAGAAAGCAAAAGCGAUUCCCCUAGUAGCGGCGAGCGAAGAGGGACAAGCCUAAACCAUCGACUAAGGUUGAUGGGGUUGUGGGACAGUGACGUGGACUGUAGCGGUUAAACGAAGCAGCUGAAAACUGCACCAGAGAAGGUGAAAGUCCUGUAGUUGAAAACUUAAGCAGCCUAACUGUAUCCCGAGUAGCACGGAGCCCGUGGAAUUCCGUGUGAAUCAGCGAGGACCACCUCGUAAGGCUAAAUACUCCUGUGUGACCGAUAGAGAAACAGUACCGCGAGGGAAAGGUGAAAAGAACCCCGGAAGGGGAGUGAAAUAGAACAUGAAACCGUUAGCCUACAAGCAAUGGGAGGACGAUUUAACGUCUGACCGUGUGCCUGUUGAAGAAUGAGCCGGCGACUUACAGGCUGUGGCAGGUUAAAUGGGAUGACCAUGAAGCCAAAGUGAAAGCGAGCCUGACAAGGGCGAUAGUCACAGUUUGUAGACCCGAACCCGGGUGAUCUAACCAUGGCCAGGAUAAAGCUAGGGUAAUACCUUGUGGAGGUCCGAACCGACUUCUGUUGAAAAAGGAGCGGAUGAGCUGUGGUUAGGGGUGAAAUGCCAAUCGAACCCGGAGCUAGCUGGUUCUCCCCGAAAUGCGUUUAGGCGCAGCGGUUGUGUACCUUAUGGGGGGGUAAAGCACUAUUUCGCUGCGGGCUGCGAGAGCGGUACCAAAGCGAGAUAAACUCAGAAUACCCUGUAAGCAUCAACCAGUGAGACGGUGGGGGAUAAGCUUCAUCGUCGAAAGGGAAACAGCCCAGACCACCAGCUAAGGUCCCCAAAUAAAUACUAAGUGAUAAAGGAGGUGGGAGUGCAUAGACAACCAGGAGGUUUGCCUAGAAGCAGCAAUCCUUGAAAGAGUGCGUAAUAGCUCACUGGUCAAGCGCUCCUGCGCCGAAAAUGAACGGGGCUAAGUAUUUUACCGAAGCUGUGGACUCAAUGAACAAUAAACAAUGAACAAUGAACAAUGAGAAUAAGAUUGUUAAUUAUUAAUUGUUAAUUAUUAAUUGUUUGGUAGGGGAGCGUUCUGUAUAGGGUGAAGCACUAGCGGCAAGCAGGUGUGGACAGUACAGAAGUGAGAAUGUCGGCUUGAGUAGCGAAAAUAUAUGUGAGAAUCGUAUACCCCGAAAUCCUAAGGGUUCCUCCGGAAGGCUCGUCCGCGGAGGGUUAGUCGGGACCUAAGGCGAGGCCGAAAGGCGUAGUCGAUGGAAA